UAGAGGCAGACAACUCAGUAAUUAAGUAAGUCUCAACCAAUUCGAUCACAAGCAGCCCAGGCAGCAGGUGAGCAAAGCGGUGGGCCCAGAACAGACGUAAAGUAAUAGUGUUUUCAUUUCUCUGCAGAUACAUCAGACAGAUGCGUCAUUCCUCUGCAUCUUGCCAAGUUUGACAGCAUUUGGAGCUAUAAGAGGUGCAUUUUCCCUUCCGGUGCUCCACAGCUGGCUAGGAUUGACGAGCCAUGGAACACUGAUAAUCUCAGAUACGGGACUGAAACGUUGUGUUUUUUGAAAAAUAGAGUACCUUUAAUGUAAAGUUGUUCAAGCAGAGAAAAAAAAACUGAAUCAGGUUUUUUUUAAAUCCUUUUCAUGUCAACAUCAAAAUAUGAAAUUGCAUAUUUCCACUGCUGAUUUCACAUUUCUUGUCUUUAUAGUGGAGUGCCAGGUUGUUUGUUAAUCUAAACAAUUACAGGACGCCUUGUUGAGAAGACAAAAAAUACAGAAUGUUUGAAAUAAAAUGAUGUUAAUCUUCAUAAAUAGGUGCAUAUACAGUACAUGAUUCUACUGACCAUCAACUACGACUUUAUUUAUUCCCACUUUCACUUUCUGAUGUUAGAACAGAAUUGUUUUUUUCUGUCUUUCUCUUUGUCAAACUUCAUUGCGUUGUGGUGUUUUUUUUAACCCAUUUGAACAUUUAUUUGAUAACAUUAAGAAAAUGCUGGAUAGAAUGUUUUCAAUAAACUAAUGUUUACUGAU
Micropterus dolomieu (smallmouth bass) is the source of this 756-nucleotide long non-coding RNA. RefSeq lists it as uncharacterized. The transcript is spliced from 2 exons. Lineage: Eukaryota; Metazoa; Chordata; Actinopteri; Centrarchiformes; Centrarchidae. The record is from RefSeq and is a predicted model, not a curated record.